GAUGAACGCUGGCGGCGUGCCUAAUACAUGCAAGUCGAGCGAACAGAUGAGGAGCUUGCUCCUCUGACGUUAGCGGCGGACGGGUGAGUAACACGUGGAUAACCUACCUAUAAGACUGGGAUAACUUCGGGAAACCGGAGCUAAUACCGGAUAAUAUCUUGAACCGCAUGGUUCGAUAGUGAAAGACGGCUUUGCUGUCACUUAUAGAUGGAUCUGCGCCGCAUUAGCUAGUUGGUAAGGUAACGGCUUACCAAGGCAACGAUGCGUAGCCGACCUGAGAGGGUGAUCGGCCACACUGGAACUGAGACACGGUCCAGACUCCUACGGGAGGCAGCAGUAGGGAAUCUUCCGCAAUGGGCGAAAGCCUGACGGAGCAACGCCGCGUGAGUGAUGAAGGUCUUCGGAUCGUAAAACUCUGUUAUUAGGGAAGAACAAAUGUGUAAGUAACUAUGCACGUCUUGACGGUACCUAAUCAGAAAGCCACGGCUAACUACGUG
This 497-nucleotide ribosomal RNA is filed under the name uncultured bacterium. RNAcentral describes it as "partial 16S ribosomal RNA". It matches the Rfam family "Bacterial small subunit ribosomal RNA", at positions 28 to 507 of the family's 1533-position model. The record is from RNAcentral.